GCCACCUUAGCUCAGUUGGUAGAGCAGUCCCUUCGUAAGGGAAAGGUCAUCGGUUCAAAUCCGAUAGGUGGCUCCA
This 76-nucleotide transfer RNA is filed under the name Candidatus Falkowbacteria bacterium CG10_big_fil_rev_8_21_14_0_10_39_11. RNAcentral's name for it is "tRNA-Thr". It matches the Rfam family "tRNA". From Rfam's summary of the family: Transfer RNA (tRNA) molecules are approximately 80 nucleotides in length. The record is from RNAcentral. Lineage: Bacteria; Candidatus Falkowiibacteriota.